UACGGGGGGGGUAAGCGUUGUUCGGAAUUACUGGGCGUAAAGGGCUCGUAGGCGGCCAACUAAGUCAGACGUGAAAUCCCUCAGCUUAACUGGGGAACUGCGUCUGAUACUGGCAAGCUUGAGUGCAGGAGAGGAACGCGGAAUUCCAGGUGUAGCGGUGAAAUGCGUAGAUAUCUGGAGGAACACCGGUGGCGAAGGCGGCGUUCUGGACUGCAACUGACGCUGAGGCGCGAAAGCGUGGGGAGCAAACAGG
RNAcentral lists this ribosomal RNA (253 nucleotides) under uncultured bacterium. RNAcentral describes it as "partial 16S ribosomal RNA". It matches the Rfam family "Bacterial small subunit ribosomal RNA", at positions 524 to 776 of the family's 1533-position model. The record is from RNAcentral.